GAUGAACGCUGGCGGCGUGCCUAAUACAUGCAAGCCGAGCGAACGGACGAGAAGCUUGCUUCUCUGAUGUUAGCGGCGGACGGGUGAGUAACACGUGGAUAACCUACCUAUAAGACUGGGAUAACUUCGGGAAACCGGAGCUAAUACCGGAUAAUAUUUUGAACCGCAUGGUUCAAAAGUGAAAGACGGUCUUGCUGUCACUUAUAGAUGGAUCCGCGCUGCAUUAGCUAGUUGGUAAGGUAACGGCUUACCAAGGCAACGAUGCAUAGCCGACCUGAGAGGGUGAUCGGCCACACUGGAACUGAGACACGGUCCAGACUCCUACGGGAGGCAGCAGUAGGGAAUCUUCCGCAAUGGGCGAAAGCCUGACGGAGCAACGCCGCGUGAGUGAUGAAGGUCUUCGGAUCGUAAAACUCUGUUAUUAGGGAAGAACAUAUGUGUAAGUAACUGUGCACAUCUUGACGGUACCUAAUCAGAAAGCCACGGCUAACUACGUGCCAGCAGCCGCGGUAAUACGUAGGUGGCAAGCGUUAUCCGGAAUUAUUGGGCGUAAAGCGCGCGUAGGCGGUUUUUUAAGUCUGAUGUGAAAGCCCACGGCUCAACCGUGGAGGGUCAUUGGAAACUGGAAAACUUGAGUGCAGAAGAGGAAAGUGGAAUUCCAUGUGUAGCGGUGAAAUGCGCAGAGAUAUGGAGGAACACCAGUGGCGAAGGCGACUUUCUGGUCUGUAACUGACGCUGAUGUGCGAAAGCGUGGGGAUCAAACAGGAUUAGAUACCCUGGUAGUCCACGCCGUAAACGAUGAGUGCUAAGUGUUAGGGGGUUUCCGCCCCUUAGUGCUGCAGCUAACGCAUUAAGCACUCCGCCUGGGGAGUACGACCGCAAGGUUGAAACUCAAAGGAAUUGACGGGGACCCGCACAAGCGGUGGAGCAUGCGGUUUAAUUCGAAGCAACGCGAAGAACCUUACCAAAUCUUGACAUCCUUUGACAACUCUAGAGAUAGAGCCUUCCCCUUCGGGGGACAAAGUGACAGGUGGUGCAUGGUUGUCGUCAGCUCGUGUCGUGAGAUGUUGGGUUAAGUCCCGCAACGAGCGCAACCCUUAAGCUUAGUUGCCAUCAUUAAGUUGGGCACUCUAAGUUGACUGCCGGUGACAAACCGGAGGAAGGUGGGGAUGACGUCAAAUCAUCAUGCCCCUUAUGAUUUGGGCUACACACGUGCUACAAUGGACAAUACAAAGGGCAGCGAAACCGCGAGGUCAAGCAAAUCCCAUAAAGUUGUUCUCAGUUCGGAUUGUAGUCUGCAACUCGACUACAUGAAGCUGGAAUCGCUAGUAAUCGUAGAUCAGCAUGCUACGGUGAAUACGUUCCCGGGUCU
This 1372-nucleotide ribosomal RNA is filed under the name uncultured bacterium. Its description in RNAcentral is "bacterial SSU rRNA". It matches the Rfam family "Bacterial small subunit ribosomal RNA", at positions 28 to 1381 of the family's 1533-position model. The record is from RNAcentral.